AAGUCGUAACAAGGUUUCCGUAGGUGAACCUGCGGAAGGAUCAUUACUGGUUAGGGUUCUCAUCUCGAGCCCGAACCUCCAACCUUUGUAUAAAACACUUUGUUGCUUUGGCAGGUCCCGUCUGAAAAUCCUUUCACCGGGAUCGCGACCGCCGGGGGGCGUUUAGUACCUCUGGCCAGUGCUUGCCGAUAGCCUAUUCAAAUUCUUUUAUUUAAAAUUCAUGUCUGAAAAAAUUAUAACUAAAAUUAUAAUUUAAAA
This 258-nucleotide unclassified non-coding RNA is filed under the name plant metagenome. Its description in RNAcentral is "partial contains small subunit ribosomal RNA and internal transcribed spacer 1". The stretch from base 1 to 46 matches the Rfam family "Eukaryotic small subunit ribosomal RNA", at positions 1786 to 1831 of the family's 1831-position model. The record is from RNAcentral.